CCUACGGGGCGCAGCAGGCGCGAAACCUCCGCAAUGCGGGCAACCGUGACGGGGUCACCCCGAGUGCCCCCUAUAUGGGGGCUUUUCCCCGCUGUAGGAGGGCGGGGGAAUAAGCGGGGGGCAGGUCUGGUGUCAGCCGCCGCGGUAAUACCAGCCCCGCGAGUGGUCGGGACGGUUAUUGGGCCUAAAGCGCCCGUAGCCGGCCUGGUAAGUCCCCCUCUAAAUCCCCGGGCUCAACCCGGGGGUUGGGGGGGAUACUGCCAGGCUAGGGGGCGGGAGAGGCCGAGGGUACUCCCGGGGUAGGGGCGAAAUCCUAUAAUCCCGGGAGGACCACCAGUGGCGAAGGCGCUCGGCUGGAACGCGCCCGACGGUGAGGGGCGAAAGCCGGGGGAGCGAACCGGAUUAGAUACCCGGGUAGUCCCGGCUGUAAACGAUGCGGGCUAGGUGUUGGGCGGGCUUAGAGCCCGCCCAGUGCCGCAGGGAAGCCGUUAAGCCCGCCGCCUGGGGAGUACGGCCGCAAGGCUGAAACUUACAGGAAUUGGCGGGGGAGCACCACAAGGGGUGGAGCCUGCGGUUUAAUCGGAGUCAACGCCGGGAACCUCACCGGGGGCGACAGCAGGAUGACGGCCAGGCUAACGGCCUUGCCCGACGCGCUGAGAGGAGGUGCAUGGCCGUCGCCAGCUCGUGCCGUGAGGUGUCCGGUUAAGCCCGGCAACGAGCGAGACCCCCGCCCCUAGUUGCUACCCGGGGCUCCGGCCCCGGGGCACACUAGGGGGACUGCCGCCGUCCAAGGCGGAGGAAGGAGGGGGCCACGGCAGGUCAGCAUGCCCCGAAUCCCCCGGGCUACACGCGGGCUACAAUGGCGGGGACAGCGGGAUCCGACCCCGAAAGGGGGAGGUAAUCCCUCAAACCCCGCCGCAGUUGGGAUCGAGGGCUGCAACUCGCCCUCGUGAACGUGGAAUCCCUAGUAACCGCGCGUCAUCAUCGCGCGGUGAAUACGUCCCUGCUCCUUGCACUCACCGCCCGUC
This 1028-nucleotide ribosomal RNA is filed under the name uncultured archaeon. RNAcentral describes it as "bacterial SSU rRNA". It matches the Rfam family "Archaeal small subunit ribosomal RNA", at positions 322 to 1354 of the family's 1478-position model. The record is from RNAcentral.